AAUCAACGCUGGCGGCGUGCCUCAGACAUGCAAGUCGAACGAUUAAGACUCCCUUCGGGGAGUGCAUAAAGUGGCGCACGGGUGAGUAACACGUAAGUAAUCUACCCUCGGGUGGGGAAUAACGUCCGGAAACGGACGCUAAUACCGCAUAAUGCAGCGGCACCGCAAGGUGACAGUUGUUAAAGAUUUAUUGCCUGGGGAGGAGCUUGCGGCAGAUUAGCUUGUUGGUAAGGAACGGCUUACCAAGGCUACGAUCUGUAUCCGGUCUAAGAGGACGGUCGGACACACUGACACUGAAUAACGGGUCAGACUCCUACGGGAGGCAGCAGUCGGGAAUUUUGGGGCAAGUGGGGGAAACCCUGACCCAGCAACGCCGCGUGAAGGAUGAAGUAUUUCGGUAUGUAAACUUCGAAAGAAUAGGAANAAUUAAUGACGGUACUAUUUAUAAGGUCCGGCUAAC
This 460-nucleotide ribosomal RNA is filed under the name uncultured bacterium. RNAcentral's name for it is "bacterial SSU rRNA". It matches the Rfam family "Bacterial small subunit ribosomal RNA", at positions 32 to 501 of the family's 1533-position model. The record is from RNAcentral.